This is a long non-coding RNA of Papaver somniferum (opium poppy), 2250 nucleotides long. RefSeq lists it as uncharacterized. The record is from RefSeq and is a predicted model, not a curated record. NCBI's taxonomy places the organism in Eukaryota, Viridiplantae, Streptophyta, Magnoliopsida, Ranunculales, Papaveraceae. The transcript has 7 exons.
UUCAAUUGUUAUUUUUUCCCAAUCAUAAUAAGUCGCUUAUGAAUUAGUAUUAGGUUUUGCUUCCUCUUCUUCUUCUUCAAACAGAUUCAUCAUAAAUGAAAUUCUUAGACCUGUAAUUUAAGAUUUCUCUUAUAUAUGAAUAAAUCUAAGGUUCUAAGAAAGAUUUCUCUAUUUCGCGAGGUUUGCUUGCUAUAAUGAAAAGACUUACUUUGGUUGGUGUUGAAAAGGGUUUUGAAUGAACCACUUCAACAACUUGAUGAGAAACAAAUUAUAAGAUGAAAAAUCAAUGAACAAGAAGAAGACUUCUGAAACUUCUAAAAGGGCCUGAAGAAAGCAGACCAGCAAAGCAUACUGGACGAUUUGGAUAUGUAAAGAUCCGAGGUUACCCAACUAUCGGCAGUUCAGUCAGUUGUGCCGGCAUCGCAGACAUCCCCUGCUGAUUUACUGUUGUUGCUGCAGCUGGUAAUGCAAUAUCAACCAUGGGUAUUGCUUCUCGUGAGGAUGUGUGUUAACUUGAGUAGCAUGCCAGGCCCUAAACAGAGGUAGGAAAAAAAAAAGUUGUUUUCUUACUUACCACCUCAAGCACAACCAUGUGGUGGGAAUCUGCAGCUCACAUCGGGGAAACUGGUCCAAGCAUGAGAUUAAGCAUCCUCCAGUUGGUGUUGCCGUUGUCGCUGCCGGAACAUAUGUUAAAAGUUUUUCGGAACGGCCUCAUUUUUCGGAACGUAUGACCAUAUAUCAAUAUACAAAAGUUAUGGUGCAGUAUUUAGAUUCUAUUGAUGAAAAAUAUAUACCCAAUAUUUUCUUGCAUGUCUGUAUUAGAUUUAUGUAACUUAAAAUGCCAUGUAUCUUGUUUCUUUUCCUUUACUAUAUCAUCGAUUUUACUUCCCUCAUUUUUGUACAGCAUGUUACUGAUGCAUUUAAUGUUUUGACGUUAGUGUUGCAGGUUAAUGAUAUCAUGAUGUCUAUGCUGCUGAUGUGGCGCAGAGUCUUGAAAUGGACACUUACAACUAGCGUGGGCACUCCAUGUCAGAUUCAUGCAGCAUAUACAGAUAAGUUGGUGUCAUUUUCGAAUUUUAGUGGUUGUGGUCUUUCUUUUGUUAACAUAAAUAUAACAAUUGUGCUUUCGGGGGUCUUUUUGCUGUGGAUCUCCUCAAUACCCUCUAAUAGUUGUGGCUUUAGUGGUGUUUCCGACGGUUGUGGUAGGGCUUUUAGGAGCAUUAAUGGUGAUCUACAGCAUUUCAGAACACAAUUUUGUCUGUUUAUUAAGUGAGUGAUCUAUUAAUAAUGUCCGAAGGUGCUAGAGCCCCUAUGAAUAUAUGAAUGUCAUGUAGAAAUUAGUGGAUGCGAGCCAAAAAAUUCUUAUUUUAGUUAAUCUGCUAUAUUGUGAAGGUAGCCUUUAAUAAUGUUGGUUUCCUCCUAACUCCAAAUACCGUUUUUUAGGUAUGAUAGGGGUCUCCACAGAUUAAAAGGUAUAACUUACAAAGAAAUCUUAUUAUGUUGUGCAUGCCAUAAAUAGGAAGUGGUGCAAAAAGUAAACAGAAAUCCAAGUGGCAAGGCAACCAUCAGUAUUCUUCCACAACACUGGCAACCAAACAAAGGUCUUCUUAUGGCCAAUGAUAUCUCAGGUGUCAACCUUGAAGAAGCAGUUUAAUGCAUAGCUCUCUCAAAAAGUGAUUCAUAUGUAGUGUCCGCAACCGGUGGAAAGAUAUCAUUAUUUAACAUGAUGACUUUCAAGGUUGUUAUUGAGUAUGUUGAUGGUUUCAGGAGGCUUGAUAGAUGAUCUUCUAGAAGAUUCUAUAAGAGAUGAUUCAUUUCCUUGUGGGGCUUCUCCCUAUAUCUAAGUUAAUGAUAAUCCACUUUGUGUGCUUAGUGGUUGUGGUUAUAUUGGUUCUUAGGUUCAUGUUGAAAUUGGCGCACAUGGUUAGCCUUUUUAACCACUACUCCUUUGUAGGGUAGGAUCUAACUAAUCAGUUAGAAGUUAGUCUCUUUAACAACUGCAGCAACAACAACUUAUAUUACAGCAAACAACAAUGAAUUCCUAGUACCACAACAGCAACAGCAGAUUCCAGUGCUGCAAAGCAUGUUCUAAUACCACAGCAACAUCGUCGAUAUCUGGUGAACCAUCCUCUUAACUGAACAGGCUUUAUGUAUUUGGAUUUCAAUGUGAGAGUUCUUUUUUCUUUAAAAUCAUUUUGUAAAAUUACCUUAAUGUAAGAUUGAUUUUAUAGAUAUAUCCAAAUGACAAUC